GGAAAGUUNGUCAAACUUGGUCAUUUAGAGGAAGUAAAAGUNGUAACAAGGUU
Molecule: ribosomal RNA, 53 nt
Filed under: uncultured Cenococcum
Lineage: Eukaryota; Fungi; Ascomycota; Dothideomycetes; Gloniales; Gloniaceae
Description: partial 18S ribosomal RNA
Source: RNAcentral